RNAcentral lists this ribosomal RNA (142 nucleotides) under Mansonella mariae. RNAcentral's name for it is "partial 18S ribosomal RNA". It matches the Rfam family "Eukaryotic small subunit ribosomal RNA", at positions 1694 to 1831 of the family's 1831-position model. Lineage: Eukaryota; Metazoa; Nematoda; Chromadorea; Rhabditida; Onchocercidae. The record is from RNAcentral.
CCGUUUCGAGAAAGCGGAGACUGCUGUUUUGAAACCUUUCGAGGUGGAGAUUCUUUGGUGGAAACCGCUUUAAUCGCAGUGGCUUGAACCGGGCAAAAGUCGUAACAAGGUUUCCGUAGGUGAACCUGCGGAAGGAUCAUUA